AUUGUUUCCAUCUGUGCCUACAGGAGAAAUUUUAAAUCUUAGAGUUUAAAAUUCUGAAACAUCCUUAAAGACACAAUUAAGUAAUUAAUUUUCUUAAGGAUUUUUUUUUCAGCUGGUGUACCUGCAACAAGCAAACUGACCCUAGCCUUCUGUAGAAGCCAAAUAGCAAUAGGUUAGUAGCACCUCAGUUCUAACUCCUACUAUGAAUUAACAUCUCGGAUCUGUGCUCUUAAACUACCUGCUGUUCUCCUUACCAGCACUGCAGUAAAGACCUGUGCAGCUACUCCUCCCACGACAGAGCUGAAAGCUGCAAACUGCAUAUCAAGUGUCCGGUGGGGUUUGGGAGGCAAUGAUGAACAUUCAUUUCAAGAUAUAUCUUUUGGAUUCAGGUAGUACUGAGUGCAUGAAAAAGGG
RNAcentral lists this long non-coding RNA (414 nucleotides) under Parus major (Great Tit). RNAcentral describes it as "lncRNA (ENSPMJG00000002637.1)". Lineage: Eukaryota; Metazoa; Chordata; Aves; Passeriformes; Paridae. The record is from RNAcentral.